Molecule: transfer RNA, 540 nt
Filed under: uncultured cyanobacterium
Lineage: Bacteria; Bacillati; Cyanobacteriota
Description: partial miscellaneous RNA
Rfam family: tRNA (bases 212-284)
Source: RNAcentral
CAGGGAGACAACAAAAUGUUUAAUAUUAUUAUUUUGUCACCUUAGGUCGAUCGGUAUCUCACGUUCUUAAUUUAUUAAGAAUUUCAUUUCCUAAGUUUUUUUAGGUCACACCCAUUAUUUUUCCUGGGCCAUUAGCUCAGGUGGUUAGAGCGCACCCCUGAUAAGGGUGAGGUCCCUGGUUCAAGUCCAGGAUGGCCCAUAUCUCUAUGUUGGGGGUAUAGCUCAGUUGGUAGAGCGCCUGCUUUGCAAGCAGGAUGUCAGCGGUUCGAGUCCGCUUACCUCCACUGAUUACCACCUCUACCAUAAUUUGUAGAAAGGAAAGGUUUUGAGUUGUGAUCAAUUUCUGAACGAAUCUAGCUUCCUAAUGAAUUCAUUAAGAUGCUGGACUCAUUGAAUUAAUUUCAUUGAUUUCAGAGAACCUUGACAACUGCAUAGAUUUUUUUUGAAGACAAUAAGCAUCUUUAAUGAUGCAGAUUUAUUAUUUGUGCGAAUGCAUUAAUAACAAUUCUAUUAAGCUGAUGCUUCAAUAUUGAAGUUAUU